CCUACGGGAGGCAGCAGUGGGGAAUAUUGCGCAAUGGGCGAAAGCCUGACGCAGCGACGCCGCGUGAGGGAUGAAGGUCUUCGGAUCGUUAACCUCUGUCAGCAGGGAAGAACGGUCACUGUGCUAAUCAGCAGUGAAUUGACGGUACCUGCAAAGGAAGCACCGGCUAACUCCGUGCCAGCAGCCGCGGUAAUACGGUGGGUGCGAGCGUUAAUCGGAAUUACUGGGCGUAAAGCGCUCGUAGGCGGUAUGUCAAGUCAAGGGUGAAAUCCCCGCGCUCAACGUGGGAACUGCCUUUGAAACUGGCAAACUGGAGUGGGUGAGAGGAAAGUGGAAUUCCAGGUGUAGGAGUGAAAUCCGUAGAUAUCUGGAGGAACAUCAGGGGCGAAGGCGACUAUCUGGCACAUAACUGACGCUGAGGAGCGAAAGCGUGGGUAGCAAACAGGAUUAGAUACCCCAGUAGUC
Molecule: ribosomal RNA, 465 nt
Filed under: uncultured bacterium
Lineage: Bacteria
Description: partial 16S ribosomal RNA
Rfam family: Bacterial small subunit ribosomal RNA
Source: RNAcentral